RNAcentral lists this long non-coding RNA (4376 nucleotides) under Brassica rapa (field mustard). RNAcentral describes it as "long non-coding RNA (BRAP_LNC007279)". The record is from RNAcentral. Lineage: Eukaryota; Viridiplantae; Streptophyta; Magnoliopsida; Brassicales; Brassicaceae.
AUCUAAUCCCAUCGCAUUGAUCAGUUCAACAUGUCAUUGUCUAGAUCCCUUUCACUUUCGACUUUUCAUCAUUGUGAUACGAUUAUUAAUUUUGUUGGCUGCAUGUAUAUAAUUUAUAUACGUAUCAUUACUUUAAUGUUUAACUCUGUAAUCAUGAUUAGUAUCCUUCCACAGCUUAUUGUUAUCUUACUACAAGGUCCACAUCAGACAUGUGUAUCGUUCGAAUACCGCUCAUCCUCACACCUUUUGCAUGAUUGAUUGUUUUAAUAAUUUGUAACAAAUUGGUAAAAAAACAAAAUGGCCACGCAAGUCUCCCGUGUCGAUAAGACUACUACGACGUGGAUGAUUUGUUCUUUUUCUUCAGACGACGUGAACUUUUAUUAGACGUUUUAACUAAGAAGCGAUGAUGCGAGUUUAAUUGCCUUUUUGUUUAUAUUUUUGUGAUUGUGAAGGAGUGAAGGACAACACACACAAGCGAUGGUACUUCUGAAUGCUAUAAACAACACAUUGGGAUGGCGGUGAGAUUUUCAAUGAUUCAUAAAAAUAUGUAGAAAAAAGCUGAAAAGGAGAAAGAGAUAUUUUCUCAAAAUGAUUUUUUAGAACUUAAUUUUCUAAAUACCCAUUAUACAAGUGUUUUUUUUACUAAGGGCUUAACUCUUUUGAAAAUAAUCAAACUUAAUUAUAUUGGGUUUCUUAACCAAUGGAACUGCUUUUACGUUUAUGAUAAAACAAGAAGGUACUUUUUUACUCAGGUAUUCAUCAAAACAUGAUUGGUGUUUAUAUGCAGGAUGACGAUAAUAUCGACGACGUAGUAAUAGUAUGUUAGAUUAGAUUGUCGAUAAGCCAACGACAUUAUUGUGCAGUGCCGCUCCCAAAGGUUGAAAUUAAAUGGCUUUUUAUAUAAUACAAAAGUGUUUAAAAUAUUGAGUGUGUUUAAAAUAGUUAAGUAUGUUGGAGAAGAAAAGGAUCGAAACAAGAGUCAAACUUGUUAACUAUUUGAUAAAUUCAUAAAACUAACAUUAUAUAUGAGUAAUAUGGCCUUAGAAUUGGCUAUAUAUAUCUUGUGGCUUGAAGCAAGUGUUAUACUAGCCUUAUUGCAGAGAUGAACGUGUUACUGUGUGUUGAUACUGAUUUUUGUGAACUAAUGAUAAUUCCGUAAAUGGUAUGGUCUUUUAUAUUUAGUUUCUUUAAAAAGGAUUACACACAUUUUUAACAGAUUCUGACAAAAAACGACACAAAGUUGAUCUUAAAAAAGAAAAUGCGCAUGAUUUGCUCUGCUCUCUUUCUUUUCAUUUUCUUCCACAAAAAAUAAUAAUAAUCAGACUUUCGAUUUUUUAUUCGAAUUUUCUCAUCCUGUCGGUUGUGACAUAAACUCUCAUUGUCAAAAUUUUACCAAGUCAUAUGCUUUAUGUGUCUGAACAUACUUAUAUAAGAAUCUGCUUAAGAGUAUAAAUGAUAAAAGGCUCUCUACAUCUUCUGGAUUCGCAAAAAAAAAAAAGAAGAAAAACAAAUUCAGUUUCGCAUAUAAUUCUUGAAUUGCUAUAGAAAUUACAGAUUAUCACAAGAAAAACUGAUGAUCUUCUUUGAUCUUCUUUAACCCCAUACAAUUAUACAAAAUAUCUACAGAGGCCACACUACUCUAUAGCUCUCUUUGAUUCAUGCAUGCACGCUUUGCUUUUCAGCCAGAAUAAAAACACAAUUCGUUAUACUAUUGGAUGCCUAAUAUACUUAAAAUCGUAGUGUAACUAAAAACCCAAAAAAAUAUAAAGAAAUGAAGAAAUAUUUGCAUCACUUUGAUCCAAUCUUCCAAUGAUGAUUGUCACAUAUUCACACUCUCUCAUAUUGCCUCGCUAUUGACAUGCAACGAUGCAUCCUGCAUCAGUUUUUGACUGAUACUAUUAAACCGUUCCCUUGAGUACUGCCUAGAAGCUUUUCUCCAAUCUGUUCCUGUUUUCAUCAUUGUCGCAAAUUCUUCAUAACUUAUUCUUCCAUCCUACAAAAAGAAGAGGUUGAUCAUGUUUAGUUAUUCUUCCAUUAUAGUUUUUUUUUUGUUUCUCGGGCUUUAGGAGACUAUAAAGAUGAGGCUAACCAACCUUAUCGGUAUCAACAUCGCGGAUAAUGGCUUCAACAACCUCUUCACUUGUACCAACUUCAUCAGAUAAAGCUUCCCUUAACUCUUCUAUUUCAAUAUACCCGUUGUUGUCUUGAUCAAAGAAUGCAAACGCUUUCUUGAGAUGCUCGCCAUUGCCCAUUUUCCUUAGAUGCACUGAUAUGGCAAUGAACUCGUCACAGUCCAAGUAUCCAUCUUUAUCAAUAUCUCCCUACAAAAAAGGAAAACACUCCAAGCUCAGUGCACUGCGUAUAUAACUUCAAAGCCUACAUAGUAAAGUAAUGAUAAUAAAAAAAAAACUUACAGCGUCCAUAAGAAUCUGUAAAUCAUCUUGAGGAACAGCAUGGCCAAGUUUUUGCAACCCUAUUUUUAGCUCGUCAAUGUUUAUCUUCCCUCUUUGGUUGGUGUCCAUGAUUUGGAACCCUUCUCUUAUACCAGAAGCUUCUUCAUCUGAUAAAUGCUCAGCAAUAACCCUGAGUGCUCGUUUCUUGAGCUUGUUCAUGACUGUGAACUGCUUCAGCCUUGCCCUUACUGUUUCACCUAAUGACACAUUGGGAGCUGUCUUUGCAUUUUGUAACCACGGAUGAUCUGCGCAAAACGAAGAAAGACUAGUUAAUACUCUUUUAUCUUUCUCAGAUUCCAUAUGACAACUAUGGCCGGUUCUGAGCAUAGUCUAGUGAAACAUUGGCCAUGGUCUCCAAAAUUUUAAGAGAAAAAAAAUAUAUAUAUAUAGACAACAUAAGCAUCAUUAGAUAAAUGUUUAUGGCCUCUAAAAUCUCAAUGCUGGUCGUAAGGACAACAUAAGCAUCACUAGAAACCAUAAAACUAUAUACCUAGCACUUGCUGAGCUGUGAGACGACGUUUUUGGUCAGGAUCAAGCAUUUUCCUGAUAAGGUCUUUUGCGUUUUCAGAAACCUUAGGCCAUGGAUCCCUUCUGAAGUUCAGUUGAGAUCGAAUAAUUGCUAGUGCAACUCCUUGUUCAGUUUCUGAAAAUGUUUAUAAACAAACUUGAUUACUCUUAUGAUCCUUAAAGUCACAUUUUUACUAGAAGAUGUGAAUAUAGACUAACCUGCCCAGAAAGGAGGGACACCACAGAGGAGUAUGUAAAGAAUAACACCUGCACUCCAAAUGUCAACCUCUGGCCCAUAGUUUCGUUUUAGCACCUCAGGAGCCAUGUAGUACGGACUCCCAACGAUCUCGUUGAACCUCUCGCCUGCAAUAGAAAGACAAUGGUGUGAGUUUAAGAUUGUUGCUAUACAUCAAAGGAGUAGUAAAAAGAAAGCAAAAAAGAAAAACAGAACACAAUACCUGGUUUAAAGAAAACAGAGAGACCAAAAUCAAUGGCCUUAAGAGGUGCAGUCUCCUUCUUGUUUGCAAAUAAGAAGUUCUCAGGUUUCAGGUCCCUGUGCAUUACCCCAUGUUUAUGACACACCUGCAGUGAUCACAUGGAAACCCAUUAAUCUCACAUUUUUGAAAAGAAUAAUCCAAAUACACACAUAAAAUCGUCUCCCAGGCAGCAAACAACCAAUGCCGGUCCUGGGAUGACGAUACAAAACAUUCGUCUUGUCCCAAAGUUUAAGUAGUUUGUAUGUAUAGACAGUUCGGCCCCAAACUAAUUAAGAAUAUUGAUCAUUUAGCAUUAGUUCGUAACUAUUUCAAUUCCAUAAAUCGCCCUGCGAACAAUUAGUACCCUUCAAGCAAUGCUACCAUUAACAUUGCAAUAAUGUCCUAACACUAGAACCAGUGAAAAUGGCAGCACGUGAGAGCUCAAACUAUAUACCAAUCACACGCAAUCAUGGCCGCUUCUAGACUUCAAAUCCAAUAACAUAUAGUCAUUUCGAUUCUGCAAACAUAUCAAGAGAAAGAUAAAAAGGCUAAAUCGUGACGAACCUGAACAACUUCCAUGAUGGUCUUAGUGACAACAGCAGCAGCUCUCUCAGUGUAAUGCCCUCUCGCCACAAUCCUAUCAAACAACUCCCCACCUUCACAAAGCUCCAUAACCAAAUGAACAGCAAUCUCAUCCUCAUAAGUCUCCUUCAAAGUAACAACAUUGGGAUGCUCAGGCAUAUGCCUCAUGAUCUCAACUUCUCUCCUAACAUCCUCUAUAUCCACAGCCGUCCUCAGCUUCUUCUUCAGAAUCGACUUACACGCGAAGACCUCUUCGGUCUCUUUGUCGGUGCAUAGGUACGUGACACCGAACUCUCCACGGCCUAGCUCUCUCCCCAGCUUGUAUUUCUGCGAGAUCUCGCGUCCUGUUGGAUCCGUU